GACAGAGGGUGCAAACGUUGUUCGGAAUUACUGGGCGUAAAGCGCGUGUAGGCGGUUCGUCAAGUCAGGUGUGAAAGCCCUGGGCUUAACCCAGGAAGUGCACUUGAAACUCACGAACUUGAGUCCCGGAGAGGAAGGCGGAAUUCUCGGUGUAGAGGUGAAAUUCGUAGAUAUCGAGAGGAACAUCGGUGGCGAAGGCGGCCUUCUGGACGGUGACUGACGCUGAGACGCGAAAGCGUGGGGAGCAAACAGG
Molecule: ribosomal RNA, 253 nt
Filed under: uncultured bacterium
Lineage: Bacteria
Description: partial 16S ribosomal RNA
Rfam family: Bacterial small subunit ribosomal RNA
Source: RNAcentral